GCCUCCGUAGCUCAGUUGGUUAGAGCGCUGCACCGGAAUCGCAGGGCCGUAGGUUCAAUUCCUACCAGAGGAC
This 73-nucleotide transfer RNA is filed under the name Paramuricea clavata. It matches the Rfam family "tRNA". Rfam says of the family: Transfer RNA (tRNA) molecules are approximately 80 nucleotides in length. Lineage: Eukaryota; Metazoa; Cnidaria; Anthozoa; Malacalcyonacea; Plexauridae. The record is from Rfam by way of RNAcentral.